CUGGCGGCAUGCCUUACACAUGCAAGUCGAACGGCAGCACGGGAGCAAGUCCUGGUGGCGAGUGGCGAACGGGUGAGUAAUAUAUCGGAACGUGCCCAGUCGUGGGGGAUAACGUAGCGAAAGCUACGCUAAUACCGCAUACGAUCUAUGGAUGAAAGCGGGGGAUCGCAAGACCUCGCGCGAUUGGAGCGGCCGAUAUCAGAUUAGGUAGUUGGUGAGGUAAAGGCUCACCAAGCCGACGAUCUGUAGCUGGUCUGAGAGGACGACCAGCCACACUGGGACUGAGACACGGCCCAGACUCCUACGGGAGGCAGCAGUGGGGAAUUUUGGACAAUGGGCGCAAGCCUGAUCCAGCAAUGCCGCGUGCAGGAUGAAGGCCUUCGGGUUGUAAACUGCUUUUGUACGGAACGAAACGGUGAGCUCUAAUACAGUUUGCUAAUGACGGUACCGUAAGAAUAAGCACCGGCUAACUACGUG
Molecule: ribosomal RNA, 477 nt
Filed under: uncultured bacterium
Lineage: Bacteria
Description: bacterial SSU rRNA
Rfam family: Bacterial small subunit ribosomal RNA
Source: RNAcentral